CGUGAUCACGUGUACUCCUGAAAACGGGAUUUCGCACCGCCAGGGCAGAGAGGCCCACCCAGCUGCGCUCGUCGCACGCGCACAGGUGCCAAAUAGAUAUAACAAAAUAGAAACAGAAUAAUUAAAAAAAAACAAAACUUGACUUGACAGUAACCUGUGAUGCAUUAUUAAUGACUACCUAUGGAGACAGUAUUUAUUAUACAAAUACAUAAAUAAAACCAAUAGUUUGUAUAUAUUAUUGCACAUGCCAUCGCCGUGUUCAAGCAGAUCCAGGAACAAUGGAAAUCCUACCUUACGCACUGAGGAUAAGGUCGUGACCUCGGAUAGGCGGUGGGAGAUUGUUAUAUAUGUCGCUCGAGAGAUAUUUAAAACUAUGGCGAAACAUGGCAGAUUUAUGUUUGGG
This is a non-coding RNA of Plutella xylostella (diamondback moth), 403 nucleotides long. Lineage: Eukaryota; Metazoa; Arthropoda; Insecta; Lepidoptera; Plutellidae. The record is from RefSeq and is a predicted model, not a curated record.